GAUGAACGCUGGCGGCGUGCUUAACACAUGCAAGUCGAACGGAAAGGCCAUGCUCUUGUUGGGUGCACGAUUGGCGAACGCGGGAGUAACACGCGUGUAUCAUGCCCUUGUAUUUGGGGUAAAAUCAGGAGACAGGGGCGCAUAUCGCGUAUAAUAUACUGCAGCAUAGUGGUCGAUGGUAAAAUUCGGCGUUUGGGGAUGGACUAGCUGCUUAUCAGCUUGAUUGUGUGGUAGUGGCGUACCAAGGCUUUGACGGGUAGCCGGCCUGAGAGGCGGACCGGCCACAUGGGGACUGCGGGACGGCGCAGACUCCUACGGGAGGCAGCGGUGGGGAGUAUUGCGGAAUGGGCGGAAGCCUGAUGUAGAAACGCCGCGUGCGGGAUGAUGGCCGUCGGGGUGUAAACCGCUUUCGCCGGUGAUGAAGAGGGAGUGACGGUAAUGGGUAAAGAAGCACCGGCUAACUACGUG
Molecule: ribosomal RNA, 468 nt
Filed under: uncultured bacterium
Lineage: Bacteria
Description: partial 16S ribosomal RNA
Rfam family: Bacterial small subunit ribosomal RNA
Source: RNAcentral